UACGUAGGGUGCAAGCGUUGUCCGGAAUUAUUGGGCGUAAAGAGCUCGUAGGCGGUCAGUCGCGUCUGCUGUGAAAACUCGGGGCUUAACUCCGGGCCUGCAGUGGGUACGGGCUGACUAGAGUGCGGUAGGGGAGACUGGAAUUCCUGGUGUAGCGGUGAAAUGCGCAGAUAUCAGGAGGAACACCGGUGGCGAAGGCGGGUCUCUGGGCCGCAACUGACGCUGAGGAGCGAAAGCGUGGGGAGCGAACAGG
This 253-nucleotide ribosomal RNA is filed under the name uncultured bacterium. RNAcentral's name for it is "partial 16S ribosomal RNA". It matches the Rfam family "Bacterial small subunit ribosomal RNA", at positions 524 to 776 of the family's 1533-position model. The record is from RNAcentral.